GCCUGGGUGGCUCAGUUGAUUAAGCAUCUGACUUCAGCUCAGGUCACGAUCUCACAGUUUGUGAGUUCGAGCCCCGCAUCAGGCU
Molecule: transfer RNA, 85 nt
Filed under: Felis catus (domestic cat)
Lineage: Eukaryota; Metazoa; Chordata; Mammalia; Carnivora; Felidae
Rfam family: tRNA
About the family: Transfer RNA (tRNA) molecules are approximately 80 nucleotides in length. Their secondary structure includes four short double-helical elements and three loops (D, anti-codon, and T loops).
Source: Rfam by way of RNAcentral